This 70-nucleotide transfer RNA is filed under the name Victivallis lenta. It matches the Rfam family "tRNA". From Rfam's summary of the family: Transfer RNA (tRNA) molecules are approximately 80 nucleotides in length. The record is from RNAcentral. Lineage: Bacteria; Pseudomonadati; Lentisphaerota; Lentisphaeria; Victivallales; Victivallaceae. RNAcentral also lists the same sequence under 1 other name.
AUCCGUAGCUCAGCGGUCAGAGCAGGUGACUCAUAAUCUCUUGGUCGUCGGUUCAAAUCCGGCCGGAUCC